RNAcentral lists this ribosomal RNA (119 nucleotides) under Pteropus alecto (black flying fox). Lineage: Eukaryota; Metazoa; Chordata; Mammalia; Chiroptera; Pteropodidae. The record is from RNAcentral.
GUCUAUAGCCAUGCCACCCUGAACAUACCUGAUCUUGUCUAAUCUAGGAAGCUAAGCAGGGUUGGGCCUGGUUAGUACUUGGAUGGGAGACUACCUAGGAAUACCAGGUGCUGUAGGUG